This is a long non-coding RNA of Symphalangus syndactylus (siamang), 1229 nucleotides long. RefSeq lists it as uncharacterized. The record is from RefSeq and is a predicted model, not a curated record. NCBI's taxonomy places the organism in Eukaryota, Metazoa, Chordata, Mammalia, Primates, Hylobatidae.
ACCACAGAUUGUAUCUGAAUCUCUGUAGAUUAAAACAUUUACUCAAGAUUUUACAGGAUUGUCAAUUUAAGCAUUAUUUGUAUAACGUGAUACAUAAAAUCCUCGUGUUUUAAUUUUAACUUUAUGGCUUUCUUUGUACUUUUAAAAUAGGAGUUUGUGACAACAAUGUGAUAAUCAUAGCUAUUGAAAAAAAAAGGUGAAUUACAAUACACUGGGAAUCUCCUGUAUUGGAUCAGAAACAAACGGAGUCAGAUGCUGCAGAGCCCAGUGAUUGUGUGGAUAUAUACAGAUGACUUAAAGAUUUAAAACUACUUGGCUUUAAACAGACGGAGUCUCGUUCUGUCGCCCAGGAUGGAAUUGCAAUGGCGUGAUCUCGGCUCACUGCAACCUCCGCCUCCCGAGUUCAAGCAAUUCUCCUGUCUCCGCCUCCAGAGUAGCUGGGAUUACAGAUCUCUUGACAAGAGUCCUCCUUGGCUGGACCCAAAAGGAAGCAAGGGAGAUUGAGAUUCCUUUGUUAUAGUUCAUACAAGUCAGCUUCAGGGGCAGAGAGCAAUGAGGAAAAGGGAAAAUGUGGAUCUGGAAAAAGAAAUGAACAAUAUCUGGAAGCAGGAUCAGCCAGACUGUUAACAGACUGAGGCCUAUGCCAACAAGAGAAGGUAAUAAAGAGGUCCAAAGCAUCAGAACAAACAUCAUGACAAAAUGGCAGCCUUGUCUCCACUCUGUAAGAACUGCAAGCUGAGAGUACUAAGCUAGCCUAUGGCUGGGGUCAGUGGGCCAUUUUGUUCUCUGGGUAUUGCACUAAAGGAUGUGUAGAAAAUAUCUGGAGGUAGAAAAAAACAUCUGUGUUGGGAGAAAGGAACAACCACACAGAUUUGGCAGUUAUGAUCCCAGAGGCAAUGUCAGUAUAACCUGUAUCCUUCAACCUGGCAGAAGUGCUUGCUGAAGACUGGUAGAUGAACAACGUGCACUUUCAUACAUCAUUAUGUACAAACUAUAGGAAAAUUUGAGACCUAAAGAAAAAUUGUAUCUGAGCCACAUCUCUAGCACCUGAAUAUUAAACAACAAAGCAGUUAAAAUAACAGUCGGCAAAUAGCAUCUAAGUGCCAAUUCAUCUUGUGUCUGUUUUUGUAAGUAAAGCUUUAUUGGAACAGCACCAUGGUCAUUCACUAAUAUGGUCUAUGGCAGCUUUCCUGCUACAGUGGCAGAGUUCAGUAGUCAGAGACUGAGUG